AAAUCCCGUCCGGAGAGCGGCCCUAGGAGCCUCGAGCGCCGAGCGGGGCCGGCAGGAUCCUCGCCGCAGCCGCCGGGGACGGGAGGAAGCAAACAGCAUUUCGGAUCUGAAGGGAGCAUAUGUUCCGGGCUCUAGGCGCGUUCCCAGGGAGGGAUAACCGACGGGGACAGAUGCCGAGCUGCUCUGACACGGGGCGGAGGGUUCACCCGGCCCGGCCCCACAUGCCAGACGUGUUCCCGAAAGCCGAGAGCCCACGGGUGAUUCUUAGAAGACAAAACACGGCCGGGGGGCGACCGCCCGCGGCAAGGCGCGUGGGCUCGCAGACCCCCGGGCACACGAAAUGCCGGCCUCCAGAGGGACAGGCCUGCCACAGCCUCGCUCUGGGGCUUCAAAAGUGAGAUUGCUACGGUGAUCCAAACCAAGGCAGGCUACCCAAAUCCCCCCGACUGCUUCAAACGCGUCUUGGGAGGGGGAUCAUCGCUUUGUGUCCUCUUCUUUGAACAUUUCUGAUCUUUAGUUUCCACACAGCGUGGCUGGGCGCUGCUAACCUGCUCUGGGGUGGGCAGCUGGAGCCAUUCCUGUAUGAUGGAGCAGCAUCGCCACAAGAAAGCCGUUUUCCCUUUUCCUCUUCUUUGCCCCCUCAUGUUUUCCUGCGGCACCUCCAUUUUCCUUCAGACACCACAAUAAUAAUAUAAUAAAAAAGAACUGACAUCUA
Molecule: non-coding RNA, 715 nt
Organism: Anas platyrhynchos (mallard)
Lineage: Eukaryota; Metazoa; Chordata; Aves; Anseriformes; Anatidae
Source: RefSeq, a predicted model, not a curated record